This 496-nucleotide ribosomal RNA is filed under the name uncultured bacterium. RNAcentral describes it as "partial 16S ribosomal RNA". It matches the Rfam family "Bacterial small subunit ribosomal RNA", at positions 28 to 523 of the family's 1533-position model. The record is from RNAcentral.
GAUGAACGCUGGCGGCGCGCUUAACACAUGCAAGUCGAACGGGGUACCCAUGACAGAGGCUUCGGCCAAUUGAUUGGAAUACCUAGUGGCGGACGGGUGAGUAACGCGUGAGGAACCUGCCUUGGAGAGGGGAAUAACAGUUGGAAACAGCUGCUAAUACCGCAUGAUAUGUCUGUGUCGCAUGGCACUGGACAUCAAAGAUUUAUCGCUCUGAGAUGGCCUCGCGUCUGAUUAGCUAGUUGGUGGGGUAACGGCUCACCAAGGCGACGAUCAGUAGCCGGACUGAGAGGUUGGCCGGCCACAUUGGGACUGAGACACGGCCCAGACUCCUACGGGAGGCAGCAGUGGGGAAUAUUGGGCAAUGGGCGCAAGCCUGACCCAGCAACGCCGCGUGAAGGAAGAAGGCUUUCGGGUUGUAAACUUCUUUUGUCAGGGACGAUAGUGACGGUACCUGACGAAUAAGCCACGGCUAACUACGUGCCAGCAGCCGCCGUAA